GACGAACGCUGGCGGCGUGCUUAACACAUGCAAGUCGAACGGAAAGGCCCCUUUGGGGGUACUCGAGUGGCGAACGGGUGAGUAACACGUGAGUAACCUGCCCUUGACUUCGGGAUAACUUCAGGAAACUGGGGCUAAUACCGGAUAGGAAUCCUUGCUGCAUGGUGGGGGUUGGAAAGCUUCGGCGGUUUUGGAUGGACUCGCGGCUUAUCAGCUUGUUGGUGGGGUAGUGGCUUACCAAGGCUUUGACGGGUAGCCGGCCUGAGGGGGCGACCGGCCACAUUGGGACUGGGAAACGGCCCAGACUCCUACGGGGGGCAGCAGGGGGGAAUUUUGCAAAAUGGGGGGAAGCCUGAGGCAGCAACGCCGGGUGGGGGAUGACGGCCUUCGGGUGGUAAACCGCUUUCAGCGGGGGGGAAGCUUGGGGGGAGGGUACCUGCAGAAGAAGCACCGGCAAACUACGU
Molecule: ribosomal RNA, 464 nt
Filed under: uncultured bacterium
Lineage: Bacteria
Description: partial 16S ribosomal RNA
Rfam family: Bacterial small subunit ribosomal RNA
Source: RNAcentral